Long non-coding RNA from Coffea arabica (coffee), 1309 nucleotides. RefSeq lists it as uncharacterized. The record is from RefSeq and is a predicted model, not a curated record. NCBI's taxonomy places the organism in Eukaryota, Viridiplantae, Streptophyta, Magnoliopsida, Gentianales, Rubiaceae.
AAAAGAUGAAAAAAGAAGAAAAGAUACAGAGCCUUGCACUUGUAUGUCAGGAAAAGCUGGACUUUCAACAUUUGGUGGGUUGGUCGGACAGUCGAUGAUGGUACAAAAAAUAUGUAUAUUUCCUGUCAAUCUGGCUGGCUGAAGGAGGAUAAAGUUACUUUAGUGAAGGUGGAGCGGUAACAUCAACCGCUUUCAUCUGUGGGGCUACAAGUUGCAUCAAAUUAUAGCAUGUGGAACUACUGAAGGAGGAAUAAUGGACAAGGCACCAAUGAAAAGUAAUGGUAGUGUGAUAAAUUUGUCUUUACACAAGUAAGGUGAACCAAGACAAGACCAGAACAGGCCAGACCAAACCAAGAAUGGUGUUCUUGAAAAAAAUGAUGCUGUUUUAUCAUGUGUGUUUAUAAGAGAAGCUAUCAUGACUGUAAUGCUCUUCCAUAGCUUUUCUCAAGAAUGCAGAGAAUUAGAGAUGCAGCUCUUCACACUAACAGAGAAUCAGAGCUGCAAUAAUUUUUUUUUUUUUACUUUUAUCUUUUUUGAAAUCAAUCAAAGGUACGAAGAACUUUGUAGUUGAGAUAUUGAUCAUUGAGUUCUCCGGAUACUGUAAUUCCAUUUCCCUACCAACAUGUCGUGAGUGUUUAUUAUCCCAGUUUUGCUUUGGGCUGCAAGCAUCACCUUGGUCUAUGCUAUAUAUCUUGUAUUGAACGGGGCUCUUUCAGGUUAUCUUGGGUGUCAGCUAGUUGCUUCUUUUCCUAGAUUCAUCAAUUUCUGAGUGUAUCCAAAUAUCUACAAAGCGAUUAUAUGCAUUAAGUAUGAUCUUUCGGAUCCAUACCGAUCCAUGCCCUGCUUAUACUCAUAUCAAGCAUGUUUGGCCCGUAAACAUGGCAGCAAUAUUCAUGUCAGUCCAACUUGCAAGAUUGAGAGUUUUGCUUGGACUUGGACCUGCGUCGGUAUAAUUCAUUGGAGACCUCUACAACUUUGUUAUUCAAUUUUACACAUUUGACGUGUUCCUGUACAUAAAUGUAUUUCUUCCAGUUCAUGCAUUGUAUCAGAAAGGGCAAAAGUGAAACAACUCAUUGCAAUGGGCUGGAUCAGUUAAGAGAAGACAGGACAGGACAUGGCUAUCGCCUUGGGGUAUCACCAGCAAUAUAAAUUCAACAAAAGAGCAUUCAGUUACAUGUAUUGAUGCUCAUUUAAGCUCAAUAACUGCAAAAUGCUACAAAAUUUUCGAGUAUUCCCACUACACGGAAUCAUGUACGCUGAUUCUAUUGGUGGUUUCGUUUUGAGAUAAACAUAAACUGGCUUUCUCAAC